This 195-nucleotide microRNA precursor is filed under the name Oryza brachyantha (malo sina). RNAcentral describes it as "MIR812 microRNA precursor family". It matches the Rfam family "MIR812 microRNA precursor family". Lineage: Eukaryota; Viridiplantae; Streptophyta; Magnoliopsida; Poales; Poaceae. The record is from Rfam by way of RNAcentral.
AAUAAAUGAAUUCCUGAGUUUUUGGAUAGAAUUUUUGACUCUUCGUCUUAUUUGAAAUUUUUUUAUGAUUAAUUUUUUUUAUUAUUUUUACAUGAUAAAAUAUGAAUAGCAUUUUACGUGUGACUAAUUUUUUAAAUUUUUUAAUAAAAUUUUCAAAUAAGAAGAUGGUCAAACGCUCGACCUAGAAAACUCAGA